GGUACAGUCACCGUCACCACCACAGCUCUGCUGUCAGCUUCCAGCAGCACACAGGUUGGAUGUUCAGUGUCAGUGCUCUCUGCUGCUCCCAGAGAGAAGCUGAUCACCGUUCCUGGAGUUAAAGGAACAUCUGAUGAUGGUUUUGAUGUAGAAUCUGCUUCAAAUAACAGUGCUGUUGCAUGGUGUAUAUUCAGUGGAUCCAUGGUUUGCAUUGUUGCUUUUCUCAUCAUUUUAUGGUUCACAAAAAGGGCAGAAAAAAGGAGGAUUAAAGUUGCACCAAGCAUGGCACUUGAAGAUGCAUUGAACACGGAAGCGAAAGAUCCAGGGAAAAAGCCAUGUGAAGAUUCAUUGAACACACCAUCUAUAGAUGCAUUGGACAGGCUAUUUGAAGAUAAAUUGAUCCUGCUACAUGAAGAUACAUGGAGCAA
This is a long non-coding RNA of Cyprinodon variegatus (sheepshead minnow), 428 nucleotides long. RefSeq lists it as uncharacterized. NCBI's taxonomy places the organism in Eukaryota, Metazoa, Chordata, Actinopteri, Cyprinodontiformes, Cyprinodontidae. The transcript has 4 exons. The record is from RefSeq and is a predicted model, not a curated record.